Molecule: transfer RNA, 83 nt
Filed under: Brucella anthropi
Lineage: Bacteria; Pseudomonadati; Pseudomonadota; Alphaproteobacteria; Hyphomicrobiales; Brucellaceae
Description: Ochrobactrum anthropi tRNA-Leu
Source: RNAcentral
GCGGGGUUGAGACUAGGCGACUUUUGCGGGCUCAAAAUCCGGUUCCGAAAGGAGUGUCGGUUCGAUUCCGACCACCCGCACCA